GACGAACGCUGGCGGCGUGCUUAACACAUGCAAGUCGAGCGAUGAAGUUUCUUCGGAAAUGGAUUAGCGGCGAACGGGUGAGGAACACGUGAAGAAUCUGCCCUCCACUUUGGGAUAACACAGGGAAACCUGUGCUAAUACCGAAUAUUGAAACAUAAGUGGCAUCACUGAGUUCUGAAAGAAUUUCGGUGGAGGAUGACUUCGCGGCCUAUCAGCUAGUUGGUGAGGUAAUGGCUCACCAAGGCAACGACGGGUAGCCGGCCUGAGAGGGCGACCGGCCACACUGGGACUGAGACACGGCCCAGACUCCUACGGGAGGCAGCAGUGGGGAAUAUUGGGCAAUGGAGGAAACUCUGACCCAGCGACGCCGCGUGCGGGAUGAAGGCCUUCGGGUUGUAAACCGCUUUCAGUAGGGAAGAAGCGAAAGUGACGGUACCUACAAAAGAAGCACCGGCUAACUAUGUGCCAGCAGCCGCCGUAA
RNAcentral lists this ribosomal RNA (481 nucleotides) under uncultured bacterium. RNAcentral's name for it is "partial 16S ribosomal RNA". It matches the Rfam family "Bacterial small subunit ribosomal RNA", at positions 28 to 523 of the family's 1533-position model. The record is from RNAcentral.